CGGGAUGACGAUCGGAAUUCAUUUUUGUAGACUUCGGAAAUUAGUACAUACAUGUAAAAAAAAAGUUCUUAUAAGUAAUCGUGUCAAUUAUAUCGCUCCAAUAUAUAUUUUGGUGGGAAGGUUGGCAGUCAGCAAUGUUCUUCUUUAUAAUUCUAAAAUGUAUCACCCUACGCGACAUACGUUGCGGUGGACAUUGAACUUUUCUAUGGGCUUCCGAAUGUGUCCGUGUUUCUGUCUAGCCACCUGGUUUGUUAGCCCUUUCAUGUAAAGUUCUUGUCAAUUGUGAAUUAAGCUUAUAUCAGAGAUGA
Molecule: long non-coding RNA, 308 nt
Filed under: Mytilus galloprovincialis (Mediterranean mussel)
Lineage: Eukaryota; Metazoa; Mollusca; Bivalvia; Mytilida; Mytilidae
Source: RNAcentral